UGCUAGAGUAGCUUCGUGGUCGAGUGGUAAGGAUACUGGCUUCUUACCCAGGAGUCCCGGGUUCGAUCCCCGGUCUAGUAG
Molecule: non-coding RNA, 81 nt
Organism: Rhamnusium bicolor
Lineage: Eukaryota; Metazoa; Arthropoda; Insecta; Coleoptera; Cerambycidae
Source: the annotation of a GenBank genome assembly